CGAAUCUUAAGAAAACUUCCCUGUGUCC
RNAcentral lists this small RNA (28 nucleotides) under Bombyx mori (domestic silkworm). RNAcentral describes it as "ovarian small RNA-14149". The record is from RNAcentral. Lineage: Eukaryota; Metazoa; Arthropoda; Insecta; Lepidoptera; Bombycidae.